Nelumbo nucifera (sacred lotus) is the source of this 574-nucleotide non-coding RNA. The record is from RefSeq and is a predicted model, not a curated record. NCBI's taxonomy places the organism in Eukaryota, Viridiplantae, Streptophyta, Magnoliopsida, Proteales, Nelumbonaceae.
UGCCUCCCACAAGAGAGUGUCUCUUCGACAGUUUUCCCAGAUCUCGCCUCUGUGUUUCUCCUCUCACCUCUCGGCUCUGCAUUUCUCCUCCUCCAUUCCGUUUUUCUCCUCACCUCUCUACUCUGUGUUUCUCCUCCUCCACUCCAUUCUGCUUCUCCAAAAAUCACACUGCGUUUCUCCUCUUCCACUCCAUCAUCUUGCUGCACGCCGUUGGUUCUCUCAGUUGUUGUUCCGCUUAAUCCAGUCAUCAGCUCUAUCAUUGAUUCUCCUCCAUUGUCGUUGCUUCAUCCUCCUCCACUCUGUUGCCAAUACCAUUGAGUUGCUCGCUGCUCACUGUUUUUCUCUCCAUUGAAACGGUUGCUGCAAAUUAUGUUGCCAUGGUGUCAUUUGGAUAAAUAUUUGAUAGUUCCUUGGAGAAAGGUCAACCUUAUAUUUUCCGUGUUGGAUCUGGCCAGGUGAUUAAGGGACAUGAUGAAGGGAUUUUUGACUAUGAAAAUUUGGUGGGAAACGUUGACUCUACAUUCGUUGACCUGAAGUAGCAGAGAAACUUAUGUUGCAAGUAAAGGGAUGAGAU